This 1174-nucleotide ribosomal RNA is filed under the name Asterorhombus fijiensis (angler flatfish). Its description in RNAcentral is "partial 16S ribosomal RNA". It matches the Rfam family "Bacterial large subunit ribosomal RNA", at positions 593 to 2553 of the family's 2925-position model. Lineage: Eukaryota; Metazoa; Chordata; Actinopteri; Pleuronectiformes; Bothidae. The record is from RNAcentral.
UAAACCUCGUACCUUUUGCAUCAUGAAUUAGCCAGAACAAGCGAGCAAGAAGCACCUUAGCCCGCCGCCCCGAAACUAAGUGAGCUACCCCGAGACAGCUUAUUAAGAGCCAACCCGUCUCUGUGGCAAAAGAGUGGGAAGAUCUCCGGGUAGAAGUGACAGACUUACCGAACUUAGUUAUAGCUGGUUGCCUAGGAAAUGGAUAGGAGUCCAGCCUGCUUUCUUCUUCCCAAGACAGGAGAGUCAUUUAAAGGGGGAACAGCUCCUUUAAAACAGGAUACAACCUUACCAGGAGGAUAAAGAUUAUAAUUUAUAAGAGUCGCGCCCCAGUGGGCCUGAAAGCAGCCAUCUGCGUUGAAAGCGUCACAGCUUAAGCGAUCCAUACCAAUAAAAUCUCUAAAGCCCCUGUUAAGUACUAGGCCUUCCCACAAUCUGUGGGAGAGAACAUGCUAGUAUGAGUAACAAGAAAGGGAUUUCUCCUAGCACAAGUGUAUAUCAGAACAGACAUCCCACUGAAAAUUAACGGACCCAAAAAGAGGGAAAUGCUAAACCGCCAGAAAUUUUAGCUCCGUUAACCCUACACUGGAGCGCUGAAGGAAAGACUAAAAGGAAGGGAAGGAACUCGGCAAAAAGCCCCGCCUGUUUACCAAAAACAUGGCCUCUUGCUAGAAUAAGAGGUCCAGCCUGCCCAGUGACCAUGUGUUUAACGGCCGCGGUAUUUUAACCGUGCUAAGGUAGCGUAAUCACUUGUCUUUUAAUUGGAGACUUGUAUGAAAGGCAUAACGAGGGCUUAACUGUCUCCCCUCCCCAGUCAGUGAAAUUGACCUCCUCGUGCAAAGGCGAGGAUAAAUACAUAAGACGAGAAGACCCUGUGGAGCUUAAGACAAUAGCAGCCCAUUGAAGAAACCUUGAUAAAAAGGGCACAACCUAGUGUGCAUCUGGCUUGCGUCUUCGGUUGGGGUGACCAUGGGGAAUACAAAACCCCCAAGAGGAGAGGAGACCUCUCCAAAAACCAGGGACACUGCCCUAGUCAACGAAAAAUUCGACCUAGAAUGAUCCGGACUACCCGAUCAACGAACCAAGUUACCCCAGGGAUAACAGCGCUAUCCCCUUCUAGAGCCCUUAUCGACAAGGGGGAUUACGACCUCGAUGUUGGAUCAGGACAUCCUAAUGG